This 1380-nucleotide ribosomal RNA is filed under the name Brenneria salicis. Its description in RNAcentral is "bacterial SSU rRNA". It matches the Rfam family "Bacterial small subunit ribosomal RNA", at positions 63 to 1434 of the family's 1533-position model. The record is from RNAcentral. Lineage: Bacteria; Pseudomonadati; Pseudomonadota; Gammaproteobacteria; Enterobacterales; Pectobacteriaceae.
CGGGCGGUAGCAGGAGCAGCUUGCUCCUUGGGUGACGAGCGGCGGACGGGUGAGUGAAGUCUGGGGAUCUGCCUGAUCCAGGUUCAACCCUAAUGGAAACGGUAGCUAAUACCGCAUGACGUCUUCGGACCAAAGUGGGGGACCUUCGGGCCUCACGCCAUGAGAUGAACCCAGAUGGGAUUAGCUGGUAGGUGAGGUAACGGCUCACCUAGGCGACGAUCCCUAGCUGGUCUGAGAGGAUGACCAGCCACACUGGAACUGAGACACGGUCCAGACUCCUACGGGAGGCAGCAGUGGGGAAUAUUGCACAAUGGGGGAAACCCUGAUGCAGCCAUGCCGCGUGUGUGAAGAAGGCCUUCGGGUUGUAAAGCACUUUCAGCGGGGAGGAAGGCAAUAAACUUAAUAAGUUUGUUGAUUGACGUUACCCGCAGAAGAAGCACCGGCUAACUCCGUGCCAUCAGCCGCGGUAAUACGGAGGGUGCAAGCGUUAAUCGGAAUGACUGGGCGUAAAGCGCACGCAGGCGGUCUGUUAAGUUGGAUGUGAAAUCCCCGGGCUCAACCCGGGAACAGCAUUCAAAACUGACAGGCUAGAGUCUCGUAGAGGGGGGUAGAAUUCCAGGUGUAGCGCUGAAAUGCGUAGAGAUCUGGAGGAAUACCGGUGGCGAAGGCGGCCCCCUGGACGAAGACUGACGCUCAGGUGCGAAAGCGUGGGGAGCAAACAGGAUUAGAUACCCUGGUAGUCCACGCCGUAAACGAUGUCGACUUGGAGGCUGUGGUCUUGAACCGUGGCUUCCGGAGCUAACGCGUUAAGUCGACCGCCUGGGGAGUACGGCCGCAAGGUUAAAACUCAAAUGAAUUGACGGGGGCCCGCACAAGCGGUGGAGCAUGUGGUUUAAUUCGAUGCAACGCGAAGAACCUUACCUACUCUUGACAUCCAGAGAAGACUGUAGAGAUACGGUUGUGCCUUCGGGAGCUCUGAGACAGGUGCUGCAUGGCUGUCGUCAGCUCGUGUUGUGAAAUGUUGGGUUAAGUCCCGCAACGAGCGCAACCCUUAUCCUUUGUUGCCAGCGAUACGGUCGGGAACUCAAAGGAGACUGCCGGUGAUAAACCGGAGGAAGGUGGGGAUGACGUCAAGUCAUCAUGGCCCUUACGAGUAGGGCUACACACGUGCUACAAUGGCGCAUACAAAGAGAAGCGAGCCUGCGAGGGUGAGCGGACCUCAUAAAGUGCGUCGUAGUCCGGAUUGGAGUCUGCAACUCGACUCCAUGAAGUCGGAAUCGCUAGUAAUCGUAGAUCAGAAUGCUACGGUGAAUACGUUCCCGGGCCUUGUACACACCGCCCGUCACACCAUGGGAGUGGGUUGCAAAAGAAGUAGGUAGC